Molecule: ribosomal RNA, 448 nt
Filed under: uncultured bacterium
Lineage: Bacteria
Description: bacterial SSU rRNA
Rfam family: Bacterial small subunit ribosomal RNA
Source: RNAcentral
CCCAGACUCCUACGGGAGGCAGCAGUGGGGAAUAUUGCACAAUGGGGGAAACCCUGAUGCAGCGACGCCGCGUGAGCGAAGAAGUAUUUCGGUAUGUAAAGCUCUAUCAGCAGGGAAGAAAAAAAUGACGGUACCUGAGUAAGAAGCACCGGCUAAAUACGUGCCAGCAGCCGCGGUAAUACGUAGGGAGCGAGCGUUGUCCGGAAUUACUGGGUGUAAAGGGAGCGUAGGCGGGAUUGCAAGUUGGAUGUGAAAACGGCGGGCUCAACCCGGAGCGUGCAUUCAAAACUGCGAUUCUUGAGUGAAGUAGAGGCAAGCGGAAUUCCUAGUGUAGCGGUGAAAUGCGUAGAUAUUAGGAGGAACACCAGUGGCGAAGGCGGCUUGCUGGGCUUUUACUGACGCUGAGGCUCGAAAGUGUGGGGAGCAAACAGGAUUAGAUACCCGCGUA